CCUACGGGUGGCAGCAGUGGGGAAUAUUGGGCAAUGGGCGCAAGCCUGACCCAGCAACGCCGCGUGAAGGAAGAAGGCUUUCGGGUUGUAAACUUCUUUUAAGAGGGAAGAGCAGAAGACGGUACCUCUUGAAUAAGCCACGGCUAACUACGUGCCAGCAGCCGCGGUAAUACGGAGGAUGCGAGCGUUAUCCGGAUUUAUUGGGUUUAACGGGUGCGCAGGCGGAUUGUUAAGGCAGCGGUCAAAUCGUGGGGCGAAACCCCAUCCAGCCGUUGAAACUGGGGAUCUAGAGUGUGCGAGAGGUAUGCGGAAUGCGUGGUGUAGCGGUGAAAUGCAUAGAGAGCACGCAGAACCCCGAUUGCGAAGGCAGCAUACCGGUGCACAACUGACGUUCAGGCACGAAAGCGUGGGGAUCGAACAGGAUUAGAUACCCUAGUAGUC
This 441-nucleotide ribosomal RNA is filed under the name uncultured bacterium. RNAcentral's name for it is "partial 16S ribosomal RNA". It matches the Rfam family "Bacterial small subunit ribosomal RNA", at positions 338 to 795 of the family's 1533-position model. The record is from RNAcentral.